UGGGGAAUAUUGCACAAUGGGCGCAAGCCUGAUGCAGCCAUGCCGCGUGAGUGAAGAAGGCCCUAGGGUUGUAAAGCUCUUUCACCGGUGACGAUAAUGACGGUAACCGGAGAAGAAGCCCCGGCUAACUCCGUGCCAGCAGCCGCGGUAAUACGGAGGGGGCUAGCGUUGUUCGGAAUCACUGGGCGUAAAGCGCGCGUAGGCGGACUGGUCAGUCAGGGGUGAAAUCCCGGGGCUUAACCCCGGAACUGCCUUUGAUACUGCCAGUCUUGAGUCCGGGAGAGGUGAGCGGAAUUCCGAGUGUAGAGGUGAAAUUCGUAGAUAUUCGGAAGAACACCAGUGGCGAAGGCGGCUCACUGGCCCGGUACUGACGCUGAGGUGCGAAAGCGUGGGGAGCAAACAGGAUUAGAUACCCGUGUAGUCC
RNAcentral lists this ribosomal RNA (424 nucleotides) under uncultured prokaryote. RNAcentral describes it as "bacterial SSU rRNA". It matches the Rfam family "Bacterial small subunit ribosomal RNA", at positions 355 to 796 of the family's 1533-position model. The record is from RNAcentral.